AGCAUCAGGGUCUUUUCCUAUGAGUCAGUUCUUCGCAUCAGGUGGCCAAAGUGUUGGAGUUUCAGCUUCAACAAAGAUGAUGUGCUAAAAACUGUAAUUUCAAGAGUCCUGUGCACAGAGCGGCAGUCAGACAGAACUCUCUGUGAUGCUGGAAAUGGUCUAUAUCUGUGCUGUCCAGUAGGGCGGCCAUGAUCCUGGAGUGACAUUUUGUUUUAUUUUUAUUUUUUGGCUGCAUGGGGUCUUUGUUGUGGCGCCUGGGCUUAGCUGGUCCAUGGCAUUUGGGACUCUUCUUGGACCAAGGAUGGAACCUGUGUCCCCUGCAUUGGCAGGUGGAUUCUUAACCACUGGACCACCAGGGAAGUCCCUGAAAUUUUAAUUUAAACAUAAAUGGCCAUGUGUACCUAGUGGCUGCUGCGUGGGAUAGUGCAGGUCUAAGACAUUACUGGAAGGGCAGUGCCACCCUUACUGGAAUCGUGACAUCCGAACCCUUUCACUUCCUGGACAGAGGCCAAGAUGAGUUCCACUUGGAGAGAAUCUUCCUGUUGGUCUUUCCUGGGGAUCUCACACAGUAAACUACCAGUGGAACUGCUUUUCAUUUUUAUUUUCUUGGUGUGCUUCAGCCUACUCCGUGAAGCAUCAUUCCUCCUGUCUUUGCCUGUUUUGCUGUCAGCACACUGAUGGAGAAGCGAUCCUUCAUCACGUUGAAGUACCUACAGCAGUCAAAGCGUUAUGCCUCUGCUUUGGAGGGAACGUCAAGAAAAGCGUGGUCCCUGGUGUUCCGGGGUUUGGGGUGCAGAGAGGUAGACAGCAGAAAGUGCUGGACCCCAAGAAUGUGAGUUUACUGGAAGAGGCGUGUGCUUGCCAAGUGAAAACCUGCUGAGUUUGUUUCUGCCUGGUUCUCUGUGCCUGAAAUAUAGCAGUUGUGUUUUAGCA
Molecule: non-coding RNA, 933 nt
Organism: Odocoileus virginianus texanus
Lineage: Eukaryota; Metazoa; Chordata; Mammalia; Artiodactyla; Cervidae
Source: RefSeq, a predicted model, not a curated record